RNAcentral lists this ribosomal RNA (500 nucleotides) under uncultured bacterium. RNAcentral describes it as "bacterial SSU rRNA". It matches the Rfam family "Bacterial small subunit ribosomal RNA", at positions 28 to 519 of the family's 1533-position model. The record is from RNAcentral.
GAUGAACGCUAGCGGCAGGCUUAAUACAUGCAAGUCGAGGGGCAGCAGGACGGUAGCAAUACCGUUGCUGGCGACCGGCAAACGGGUGCGGAACACGUACGCAACUUACCCAUAACUGGGGGAUAGCCCGGGGAAACCCGGAUUAAUACCUCGUAACAUCGUGAGGUGGCAUCACCUUACGAUUAUAGCUCCGGCGGUUAUGGAUGGGCGUGCGCCUGAUUAGGUAGUUGGCGGGGUAACGGCCCACCAAGCCUACGAUCAGUAACUGGUGUGAGAGCACGACCAGUCACACGGGCACUGAGACACGGGCCCGACUCCUACGGGAGGCAGCAGUAAGGAAUAUUGGUCAAUGGACGCAAGUCUGAACCAGCCAUGCCGCGUGAAGGAUGAAGGUCCUCUGGAUUGUAAACUUCUUUUAUAUGGGACGAAACCCGGGUAUUCCUACCCGAUUGACGGUACCAUAGGAAUAAGCACCGGCUAACUCCGUGCCAGCAGCCGCG